GGGGAUAUAACUGGAACUCUGGGAAUGUAACGUGCAUGGUGUGCUUGUCUGACAGACAGGGCAGCUGAGGGGAAUAAGUCUCUGCAGCGUUGUAGUGAAGAGAGAAUACGGGACAACUGCAGGACCACAGCUCAGCCAAGAGCUCCCUUGCAGCUGAGUUGGCCAUAUGACUGACAGCAAGCCCUGGAAUGCAGCCAGAAGUGAUGGAAGCCUCUUUCACACCAUGCUCCUAAAAUAUUCCAAGAAAUUUUCCAAACCCACUCUUUUUAGUCUGUGCAUCUGGAAGUGAAAGUUUUAGAAAGGGUAAAGUCACUUAAUGGAAAGGGCCCAGAUCUAGCCCCUCGGAGCCAAGCUGUUCAACUAGAAAUUCUGCAUUAGUAUUUGCGGGUUGGCCCAACACUCAUGAAAUGCAGAUGUGAAUGAUUUUUGACUGGCAGAUUUCAAAAUGAAUAUGCAGCCACUACAACUUUUAUAUAACUUUAAAAUUCUGGAAGAGGAAUGCAAGACUCUGUCCAAAUUGUGUGUUUGGGGCAAUGAGAAUAUUAUAUGUACAGUCCAAAAUAUAUUUCCAAAUACAGGUAAACAAAGGCUAUUUUGAUUCUGUUUUAAGGUCGCAAAUAGUCUGUCAUGGAGUUUAGAUUGUGAGUCUCCCUGCUAGAAGAUGGGUCGCAAUUGGAAGAGUGCUUUAUAUUCCCCGCGCCACUGCCAAAUGAUCCUAGAGGUUAACAGAAAACAGCAAUGGGGCUUCCAAGGACAAGGACUGAAUUAUAUACUUUGUAAGACUAGGAAUGAAGAGAACAUUGUAUUCUUCAAACAAAGUAACAGCUAGACAGACAGGCAAAAGAACGAAGAAUCUGGCCUCCAAGUAAUCCUUAAUUAUAACCCUGCAACCUAAAAGGACAAGAAUAUAAAGUGGGUCAAGAAGAAAUGCAUGAAUUAUAUAAGUAAAGAAAACUGAAACACAUCUCCGGGCACAAAGCAAGCUAGCUAUAAUUUACUACUAUAAAAUUCAAGAAUUUUGUACCCUAGCUUAUGCCAU
Molecule: long non-coding RNA, 1039 nt
Filed under: Pan troglodytes (chimpanzee)
Lineage: Eukaryota; Metazoa; Chordata; Mammalia; Primates; Hominidae
Description: long non-coding RNA NONPTRT012721
Source: RNAcentral